Molecule: ribosomal RNA, 437 nt
Filed under: uncultured soil bacterium
Lineage: Bacteria
Description: bacterial SSU rRNA
Rfam family: Bacterial small subunit ribosomal RNA
Source: RNAcentral
AGGAUGAACGCUGGCGGCGUGCUUAACACAUGCAAGUCGAACGGUGAAGGAGAGCUUGCUCUCCGGAUCAGUGGCGAACGGGUGAGUAACACGUGAGCAAUCUGCCCCUGACUCUGGGAUAAGCGUUGGAAACGACGUCUAAUACCGGAUACGAGCUGCGAAGGCAUCUUCAGCAGCUGGAAAGAACUUCGGUCAGGGAUGAGCUCGCGGCCUAUCAGCUAGUUGGUGAGGUAAUGGCUCACCGAAGGCGUCGGACGGGUAGCCGGCCUGAGGAGGGUCGACCGGCCACACGUGGGACUGAGACACGGCCCAGACCUCCGUACGGGAGGCAGCAGGUGGGGAAUAUUGCACGAAGUGGGACGCAAGCCUGAUGCAGCAACGCCGCGUGAGGACGCGGUCCGUUCGGUUACGUAACCUUCGUUUAGACGAGGAAGAGA